Molecule: unclassified non-coding RNA, 317 nt
Filed under: Psathyrella sublatispora
Lineage: Eukaryota; Fungi; Basidiomycota; Agaricomycetes; Agaricales; Psathyrellaceae
Description: partial internal transcribed spacer region
Rfam family: Eukaryotic small subunit ribosomal RNA (bases 1-46)
Source: RNAcentral
AAGUCGUAACAAGGUUUCCGUAGGUGAACCUGCGGAAGGAUCAUUAAUGAAUAUCUAUGGUGUUGGUUGUAGCUGGCUUCUCGGAGCAUGUGCACACCCGCCAUUUUUAUCUUUCCACCUGUGCACUUAAUGUAGAUCUGGAUAACUCUCGCUUUCACGAGCGGAUGCAAGGAUUGCCGUGUCGCAAGACCGGCUUUCUUUGAACUUCCAGGUCUAUGUACCCUUACACACCCCAAUUGUAUGAUGAAGAAUGUAGUCAAUGGGCUUUAUGCCUAUAAAACAAAAUACAACUUUUAGCAACGGAUCUCUUGGCUCUC